UCCGUAGGUGAACCUGCGGAAGGAUCAUUACCGAGUACCGGGCGCAAGCCCGUACCCACACCCCGUGCUUACGCUCCGCGUUGCUUCGGCGGCCCCGCCCCCCGGGGCGCCCGCCGGAGGACCAACCAAACUCGAUGAAACCGGUCUGUCCGAGGAUAUAUGAAUCAGUCAAAACUUUCAACAACGGAUCUCUUGGUUCGGGCAUCGAUGAAGAACGCAGCGAAAUGCGAUAAGUAAUGUGAAUUGCAGAAUUCAGUGAAUCAUCGAAUCUUUGAACGCACAUUGCGCCCGGUGGCAUUCCGCCGGGCACGCCUGUCCGAGCGUCAUUGCAACAAUCAAGCCUCGCUUGGUGUUGGGGGUCGUCGCCGCGAGGCGACCCCCCCGGAACCCGUUGGCGGUGGCUGUCGCCCCGAUCGUCGCGCAUGUUACGACGAGGUGCCACGCCGCCCGCCCCAACCCGCAAUCGCGCACAGUUUGACCUCGGAUCAGGCGGGGAUACCCGCUGAACUUAA
RNAcentral lists this ribosomal RNA (512 nucleotides) under uncultured fungus. Its description in RNAcentral is "eukaryotic LSU rRNA". The stretch from base 173 to 326 matches the Rfam family "5.8S ribosomal RNA". Lineage: Eukaryota; Fungi. The record is from RNAcentral.